RNAcentral lists this ribosomal RNA (301 nucleotides) under uncultured bacterium. Its description in RNAcentral is "partial 16S ribosomal RNA". It matches the Rfam family "Bacterial small subunit ribosomal RNA", at positions 509 to 807 of the family's 1533-position model. The record is from RNAcentral.
CAGCAGCCGCGGGAAUACAGAGGGUGCAAGCGUUAAUCGGAUUUACUGGGCGUAAAGGGCGCGUAGGUGGUUAUGUAAGUGAGAUGUGAAAUCCCCGGGCUCAACCUGGGAACUGCAUCUUAUACUGCGUAGCUGGAGUGCAGUAGAGGGUAGUGGAAUUCCCGGUGUAGCGGCGAAAUGCGUAGAUAUCGGAAGGAACACCAGUGGCGAAGGCGGCUACCUGGACUGACACUGACACUGAGGCGCGAAAGCGUGGGGAGCAAACAGGAUUAGAUACCCCAGUAGUCCCUGUCUCUUAUAC